UUUGAUGUCAAAUGAUACUUGGAAAAUGGCGUUCAAGUGGUGUGCAUCUGAAACUGCAUCCGUUGAUGAGAGACUUGCUUCCAGCGUCCUGACCUGAGGGAAGAAGAUAUGGCUGGAUCCCAAUGAGAUUGCAAACUCCUACAGAAAGUGGGAUGGAAGAUGGAUAAAUUCUGUUGCAAGYCUCCCUUGAUAUUUGGUCCCUGCUGCCUGAUGGAAAUCUACUUGGCUGCCAUUGUGGCAAAGCGAGUUCUGCUGGAUGAGUGAAGGCCUAUUUAUUUCCAAUUAAUACCCAUCUUUUGACUGAUCAAGGAGUACAUCAUCACUUGAGGUUUGCAAUGUUGAGGUAUUCCCCUGCCGAGACUACAGAUGACACCAGGAUCACUUGAGGACAUUGACAGGACUUGAGGGUGAUGCCGACGCUUGUUGAAGAGCUUCAGUCAUGAAACGGCCUGCUAGCCAGGAGGCAUUUCAAUGUGUAUUUCAAUGUGUGGACUGUAUCCAUGGCUGUAUUUUGUGCCAAUGACGACUUUGGGGGAUCAGAUCAAAGUUAAUUUGUCAAGUAAUGUUGGUGGRGUUCCUCUUGGCGUUGUCUUUGGACUCCCUCCUACUACAGUUCCCCAAGUAAAGUACUUUGACAACUACUGAUGUAAAAAAAAAAAAUGCUUUGGAUAAUGAAUUUUAAAAUGCCACCAAUAAAAAGUAAUUUGUGAUUGCAGUAUUUGAAUAAAGAAUGAAUGGUCA
Molecule: long non-coding RNA, 741 nt
Organism: Salvelinus sp. IW2-2015
Lineage: Eukaryota; Metazoa; Chordata; Actinopteri; Salmoniformes; Salmonidae
Exons: 7
Source: RefSeq, a predicted model, not a curated record